Molecule: ribosomal RNA, 433 nt
Filed under: uncultured bacterium
Lineage: Bacteria
Description: partial 16S ribosomal RNA
Rfam family: Bacterial small subunit ribosomal RNA
Source: RNAcentral
AACGAACGCUGGCGGCAUGCCUAACACAUGCAAGUCGAACGAGACCUUCGGGUCUAGUGUCGCACGGGUGCGUAACGCGUGGGAACCUGCCCUUAUGUUCUGAAUAACUCCCCGAAAGAGGUGCUCAUAUCGGAUAAUCUCUUCUGACCAAAGAUUUAUCGCCUUUGGAUGGGCCCGCGUUUGAUUAGCUAGUUGGUAGGGUAAAAGCCUACCAAGGCGACGAUCAAUAGCUGGUCUGAGAGGAUGAUCAGCCACACUGGGACUGAGACACGGCCCAGACUCCUACGGGAGGCAGCAGUGGGGAAUAUUGGACAAUGGGCGAAAGCCUGAUCCAGCAAUGCCGCGUGAGUGAUGAAGGCCUUAGGGUUGUAAAGCUCUUUUACCCGGGAUGAUAAUGACAGUACCGGGAGAAUAAGCCCCGGCUAACUCCGUG